RNAcentral lists this ribosomal RNA (441 nucleotides) under uncultured bacterium. RNAcentral describes it as "bacterial SSU rRNA". It matches the Rfam family "Bacterial small subunit ribosomal RNA", at positions 958 to 1397 of the family's 1533-position model. The record is from RNAcentral.
AACGCGAAGAACCUUACCUACCCUUGACAUCCUCGGAACCUGCUAGAGAUAGUGGGGUGCCUUCGGGAACCGAGUGACAGGUGCUGCAUGGCUGUCGUCAGCUCGUGUCGUGAGAUGUUGGGUUAAGUCCCGUAACGAGCGCAACCCUUGUCCUUAGUUGCCAACAGGUUAUGCUGGGAACUCUAAGGAGACUGCCGGUGAUAAGCCGGAGGAAGGUGGGGAUGACGUCAAGUCCUCAUGGCCCUUACGGGUAGGGCUACACACGUGUUACAAUGGGCAGUACAAAGGGAAGCGAAGCCGCGAGGUGGAGCGAAUCUUAUAAAAGCUGCUCGUAGUCCGGAUUGGAGUCUGAAACUCGACUCCAUGAAGUUGGAAUCGCUAGUAAUCGCGGAUCAGAACGCCGCGGUGAAUACGUUCCCGGGCCUUGUACACACCGACAUA